AUUUUAUCUGUCCACCUUGUAAAGAAGUGCCUUCUGCCAAGACUGUAAGUUUGCUGAGGCCACUCCAGCCAUGCGAAACUGAAAGUUUAAAUAAAAACAGCAAAUUGAAAAAAAUAGGUCUAAAAAACUAUUUGAGUAUGGCUACUGGCACCUGGAUACGGCAAGAAAUAGAUCUAUGCACUUUUGGCAGUACUCAUUUGUGAGCAUACAGUAUGACAACGCAUGAUUGCUGGAACAUGCACCUCAUGUGACCUGGGAAUGAAGGAACACUGCCUUCCUGACACAUCACCCUCUAUCUGCCCAGGAUCUGUAUGU
This is a long non-coding RNA of Sapajus apella (tufted capuchin), 315 nucleotides long. RefSeq lists it as uncharacterized. NCBI's taxonomy places the organism in Eukaryota, Metazoa, Chordata, Mammalia, Primates, Cebidae. The transcript is spliced from 4 exons. The record is from RefSeq and is a predicted model, not a curated record.